Molecule: ribosomal RNA, 353 nt
Filed under: uncultured bacterium
Lineage: Bacteria
Description: bacterial SSU rRNA
Rfam family: Bacterial small subunit ribosomal RNA
Source: RNAcentral
GGACCCGCACAAGUAGUGGAGCAUGUGGUUUAAUUCGAAGAUACGCGCAGAACCUUACCAACACUUGACAUGUUCGUCGCGACUCUAAGAGAUUAGAGUUUUCGGUUCGGCCGGACGAAACACAGGUGCUGCAUGGCUGUCGUCAGCUCGUGUCGUGAGAUGUUGGGUUAAGUCCCGCAACGAGCGCAACCCUCACUUUUAGUUGCCAUCAUUAAGUUGGGCACUCUGAAAGAACUGCCAGUGAUAAGCUGGAGGAAGGUGGGGAUGACGUCAAGUCCUCAUGGCCCUUACGUGUUGGGCUACACACGUGCUACAAUGGCCGGUACAGAGAGCAGCCACCACGCGAGUGGGAG